Molecule: long non-coding RNA, 377 nt
Organism: Cyprinus carpio (common carp)
Lineage: Eukaryota; Metazoa; Chordata; Actinopteri; Cypriniformes; Cyprinidae
Exons: 3
Source: RefSeq, a predicted model, not a curated record
CCUCAUGUGGCCUUCUCAGAUCAGUGCAUCCCUCUCAUAUGAUCAUGUACAUGUCUGGAGCAGUUGGUCUUGUUUUGUUGAACUCUGGACUACUGACAGCAGAACUCUUUUUGGAAACAUGGAACGGGGAGCGUAUCAUUAAGGAUCUAAGAAUCAUUGUCUUCCCCUGUGAAUGUGUUUUGGCUUUAUAUUGGAUAAUUAACUUCCGUUCUUUCUAAGUAUCUUAUAAUAUCUUUUUAAUGGAGACUCAGCUUUUUUUUUAAAUUUGCUAAAUAUUUUGACAUUCUAAAAAUUACAAUAAGGUAACAUGGCAUUUAAUUUUUUUCUCUCUCUUUCUAAUGCAUCCUGUCAUAUAGUGAAGAUUAGGCCUGAGUAAU